RNAcentral lists this ribosomal RNA (456 nucleotides) under uncultured Cellulomonas sp. Its description in RNAcentral is "bacterial SSU rRNA". It matches the Rfam family "Bacterial small subunit ribosomal RNA", at positions 924 to 1382 of the family's 1533-position model. The record is from RNAcentral. Lineage: Bacteria; Bacillati; Actinomycetota; Actinomycetes; Micrococcales; Cellulomonadaceae.
CACAAGCGGCGGAGCAUGCGGAUAAUUCGAUGCAACGCGAAGAACCUUACCAAGGCUUGACAUACACCGGUAACGCCCAGAGAUGGGUGCCCCUUUGUGGUCGGUGUACAGGUGGUGCAUGGUCGUCGUCAGCUCGUGUCGUGAGAUGUUGGGUUAAGUCCCGCAACGAGCGCAACCCUCGUCCUAUGUUGCCAGCGGGUCAUGCCGGGGACUCAUGGGAGACUGCCGGGGUCAACUCGGAGGAAGUGGGGAUGACGUCAAAUCAUCAUGCCCCUUAUGUCUUGGGCUUCACGCAUGCUACAAUGGCCGGUACAAAGGGCUGCGAUACCGCGAGGUGGAGCGAAUCCCAGAAAGCCGGUCUCAGUUCGGAUUGGGGUCUGCAACUCGACCCCAUGAAGUCGGAGUCGCUAGUAAUCGCAGAUCAGCAACGCUGCGGUGAAUACGUUCCCGGGCCUU